Molecule: ribosomal RNA, 363 nt
Filed under: uncultured eukaryote
Lineage: Eukaryota
Description: partial 18S ribosomal RNA
Rfam family: Eukaryotic small subunit ribosomal RNA
Source: RNAcentral
CAAUAGCGUAUACUAAUGUUGUUGCAGUUAAAAAGCUCGUAGUUGAACUUCUGGUAGGAGUGUCCCGGCCUUUUUGUUUUUACAAAUUGUAUGCUGUGUGACAUCUCUGGCCAUCCUUCUUCUUUGUUUAAAGAAGAUCUUUCACCGUAAAAAAAUUAGGGUGUUCAAAGCAAAAGUUUCUUUGGAAUAUAUUAGUAUGGGAUGAUAAGAUAGGCUCUAGAUGCUAUUUUGUUGGUUUGCACAUUUAGAGAAUGAUUAACAGGGACAGUUGGGGGUAUUCGUAUUUACAUGUCAGAGGUGAAAUUCUUGGAUUUUGGAAAGACGAACUACUGCGAAAGCAUUUACCAAGGAUGUUUUCAUUAA